RNAcentral lists this long non-coding RNA (4108 nucleotides) under Delphinapterus leucas (beluga whale). Its description in RNAcentral is "lncRNA (ENSDLEG00000015990.1)". Lineage: Eukaryota; Metazoa; Chordata; Mammalia; Artiodactyla; Monodontidae. The record is from RNAcentral.
UAAAGCGGCUCUGCCGGAGCCCGGUACCCGGGAGUCCUUCAACAAGUUAAUUCACGUGGCAAAUAUUUACUGCCCGGCUGUAUUCUAGUGGGGACAGAGACGGUGAACAGAUGCAUGAAGAACGGUAAGGCAGCGGACGGGAAAUAGGAGAUUUCUAUUUAACGGAGAACGUUGCAUCCUUUCUCCUUACAGAGAAUUCAGGUCAGUGCCCGCGAUGGGCCAGGGUGUGUACUGGGCAGCGGAGAUACGACGGAUAAACAGGACACACGAAGAGACCUCAUGCGCCUUCCGAGCUGACAGGAGAGACAGAAAACACUUUCAUCACUUUCUCGUGGGAGGAGCAGCACGGAUGUACAGGGGUGAGAGGAACUGCGCGUGCUCAUCUCUGAACUUUAGCUCCAUAAAAAAGCAAUGACUCGGCCAUAAAAAAGAAUGAAAUCACGCCAUUUGCAGCAACAUGGAUGCAACUAGAGAUUCUCAUACUACGUGAAGUAAGUCAGACAGAGACAGAUACCAUAUGAUACCACUUAUAUGUGGAAUCUAAAAUAUGACACAAACGAACUUAUCUACGAAGCAGAAACAGACUCACAGACUUGUGGUUGCCUAGGGGGAGGGGGGAGGGGGAAGCUUGGACUGGGAAUUUGGGAUUAGUAGAGGCAAACUAUUAUAUACAGAACGGAUAAACAACAAGGUCCUCCUGCAGAGCACAGGGAACUAUAUUCAACAUCCUGUGAUAAACCAUCAUGGAAAAGACUAUGAAAAAGAAGGUAUAUAACUAAGUCACUUUGCUGUACAGCAGAAAUUAACACAACACUGUAAAUCAACUAUACUCCAAUUUAAAAAAGAACAGUGAUGACAAUGAUGCUGACACAGGGGUAGGGGAGUGUGGCUUAUGUAUAGAUGGAACAAUAAAGGGCCACAGGGUGAAGGUGGGUGAUAAGUACAUUAAACUAUUCUGUCCAUUUUAUGUACAGGUUUGAAUUUUUUCCAUAGUAAAGAGUUAAAAAAACAAAAACAAAAAACCAACUCUCUGGGCCAUGUACCCCGUGGAAACCCUUCAUGUCUCCCUGGGGUUAGGUUACCCUGUUUGAGAACUGUCUGGUCUUGAGUGCCACGCACCCAGUCUAUCAGGGCUGAGAGCUGUAUUGUACUUUUCCUGUUUACUGACCAACAAUGGAAGCAUUUUCUCUCAAUGCUUAUAAACCAGCUUCACUGUCCUAAAUUGUUGCCUAGCACACCCGUUUAGAGGAACAGUCCUCUGCUCCAUCCUUUUUUCUACCUCGGUCAAGGGUGGGGUGGGGUGAGAGAAAUAGGUUGAGAAAUAUGGUUAUAGGCUGAAGGAAAUAUGAAGUCUUGGAGGAUGCAAGCUAAGGGCCUAAGCCAUAGGAGGUUGUUUGUGCUCUAAUCAUGAAAGAUUAUUCCUCCUAACAAUUCAUCCUCUCCCCCAAUCCUCUCCCCCAGGCAUAGACACCCUCUGAAACAUUCUUGUUUUGUGGUGAAUUAGCCCUCUGCCUUCCACCAGAGACAGAAGGCUCUCUCCUUGGACACAGCUGAAUUGUUAUAAUGCACUUGGCUGCAAGAAAUAGAGAAUACAAUUAACUGUAGCUUAAAAAAUAAGUAGACUAUUUUUCUUACAUAAGUAAUCUAGAGAUUGGUUCAACUCAACAGUCCAAUAGGAUCCUAAACUGUUACUCUUUCUGUUCUGUCAUCCUUAGUAUGUUGACUCUGGUUUUUAUGCUUCUAGCCUACUGGCCACAAGAGGGCUGCAGUAUCAUCAGCUCCCCUAUCUGAGUUUCAGAAAUGAAAGGGAAAGGGGAAAAGAUCUUCUCUUCCCGAAGCUUUUUUUUUUUGGCUGUGCUGCGAGGCUUGCGGGAUCUUAGUUCCCUGACCAGGGAUCAAACCCAUGCCACGGCAGUGAAAGCACCGAGUCUUAACCACUGGACCGCCAGGGAAUUCCCAGCGAAGCCUUGUCUUUAAUUCAGGGAAGGAAGUCCCACCACGCCCUGUCUCAUUGAUGAGAAUGGGAUUACCUGCCCACACUGGCCACAGGGAGAGAGAAUACCAUAACUGGUUUAGACCAAUUAUAAUUCACACUUGGGGUUUGGGGAAGGGCCUGCUCCCUCUGAGAUUAAGGGCUCACCCUUAACUUCUUGAGCAGAUCCAAGUUGUAUUAGCAGGAAACAGGGGGUGUUGUUAGGAAGAAUGGCUGUGGGUAACGUAUCGAAAGUGCCUACUAGAAUAACCCACUUUUGGUGGAACAGUCCUGGCCAUGGAAAGAUUUUCCUCUAUUGAACUAACAUCCUCACCCUAGAUUUCCACUCCUAUUUUAGGUCCUGGUUUGCUCUCUCUGGAGUCACAGAAAGGGGUAGAUCCAGGUUUUAUUAGUUCUGAAAAUCAUUUAAUACAAUUGGUGGGGGGAGGGGAGGCUUAAGUGAAAUAAGACAGAUUUAAAUAUUGAAAGUAGAGUGAGAUACAGGGUCUUGGAAGAGGCCCAUACAAGUCAGGAGCUCUAAAGCUUAAAGCUGAUUAUCUUCACGGUAAAUCCACUUUUGCCCACAAGAAAAAACAUGGCCCCUCUUUCACACCACAGCCCUUUAUUUUUAAUUAAUUAAUUAAAAUUUUUUUUUUGGCUGUGUUGGGUCUUGGUUGCUGUGCGCGGGCUUUCUCUAGUUGCGGCAAGCGGGGGCUACUCUUCGUUGCGGAGCACGGGCUCUAGGUGUGUGGGCUCAGUAGUUGUGGCACGCAGGCUCAGUAGUUGUGGCUUAUGGGCUUUAGAGCACAGGCUCAGUAGUUGUGGUGCACGGGCUUAGUUGCUCCGUGGCAUGUGGGAUCUUCCCUGACCAGGUCUCAAACCCGUGUCCCCUACACUGGCAGGCGGAUUCUUAACCACUGUGCCACCAGGGAAGUCCCCACACCACAGUCCUUUAAAUAACUGAGGACAUUGGUCCCAAGUCUGCAAAACCCUCUCCCCUUGAUUUCCAAGCUCCUUACUUUCUCAGCCAGCUUGUCUGAACUGGUCCACACGGGUGGGCCAUUCAUGCUGAGGCAUUCUGAGUGGAGUGAAGCAGAGAGAAUUCGAGUAUGAGAGUCAGUCCUCCUGGAGGCUGAAGGGGCCCUGCCUUCCACAAGCUUCCACUGAGAAGACCCUUGCUGAUUAGUAGAACAUUGCAGAAGUGAUGGUGUGGGACUUCCAUCAUAAAUGACAGUGCCCUUCUGCCUUGCCCUCUCAGAUUGCUCACUGUGGGGGACAGCAGCCACCAUGUCACGAAGACACUCAAGGAGCCCUGUGUAGCCACCUGGAUGGAGAGGACCUGAGGCCUCCCACCAACAGCCAGCACCCACUUGCCAGUUGUGUAGGUGAGUCAUGUUGCACUGGAUCCUCCAAGCCCUUUAAGCCUUCAUAUGACAAAGUCCCCACCAAUAUGCAACUGUGGCUGAGUCAGAACCACCUAUCUCCUGUCCCACAGAAACUGUGAGCAAUAAUAAAUACUUGUUGUUAUUUUAAGCCACACACACACACACACAAAAAGAAAAAAGAAAAAAAAUUAAAAAAAAAAAGAAAAGACCCUUGAGAGAGCGGGAAUCAGGAAUAACUUGUUUUCCAGACACUGGAUCAGGAGAGCACUGACUAGUCAAGAAUGCACACAAGUAAGAUAAAUUAAAAAAAAAAAAAUCAGGAAGCACCACUAAGACAGAGUUUUAUUAGCAUACUGCAGUCUAGACUUCAGUUCAGAAGCUAAAAAAUCCAAAAUAACUUUAAGUCUGUAAAAUGAGGAUGAUACCACCUUCCUAAGAGGGUAGUUACGAAACUUACAUAAAAUAAGUUAACUGAAAAUGUUUUUGGAAGCACACAACACUACAUAAAAUAUAAAAGUUAUAGAACAAGGAACAAAGAUACCUGCGCUGACAGUGGGAGAUGGGGGCUCCUGGAACAGGGCGGUGGCCUGGGCCUGGUUGUACACUCUUGGAUGGCUCCCUUUACCCAGCUAAAUCUUUCCUGAGCCAGAAUCUCAUGUCUGAAAGUUCACCCUUUCUCUCCAUGCAAGUAUUCCUGGCACGUAUAAGAGCUUAAACUAAUUCACACUGAAGUAUUAACCACAUAGACUAA